RNAcentral lists this ribosomal RNA (259 nucleotides) under uncultured prokaryote. RNAcentral describes it as "partial 16S ribosomal RNA". It matches the Rfam family "Bacterial small subunit ribosomal RNA", at positions 524 to 782 of the family's 1533-position model. The record is from RNAcentral.
UACGUAGGGGGCUAGCGUUAUCCGGAUUUACUGGGCGUAAAGGGUGCGUAGGCGGCUUUUUAAGUCAGCGGUGAAAUUUUGCAGCUUAACUGUAACAGUGCCGUUGAUACUGGGGAGCUAGGAUUUGGUUGCUGUGGGUGGAAUGUGUGGUGUAGCGGUGAAAUGCUUAGAGAUCACACAGAAUAUCGAUUGCGAAGGCAGCUCACAAAGCCAAGAUUGACGCUGAGGCACGAAAGUGUGGGGAUCAAACAGGAUUAGA